CGAAUCCUCUCCCGGGCAGCAGAAGCCACCACUGCUUCAUUUAAGAAGUAGUGGUGGUUUUUGUUGUUUGGGGGAGGUUCGUGUGAUGCUGGUCGGUGAUGAUGACAUUGUGGAGUAUCGUAAAGAACUCAUUAUGCUCUCAGUUGCUGUUUGAUGGACUGUUUGAGGUAUCAUGCAUCACAAACUGCUGCCAUCUAGCCAGGCAAUCAAUGCAGCUGUGUACUUUGCAGCAAUUAGAACUUAUGCAUGAAAAACUGAAAACUGUGGAUCCAGUGCUUGUAAAUUGCAGAGAUGUCAUUCUCUUACAGGACAAUGCAAAAGCCACAUAUUGCUAAGGUCACCCUUAACACCAUUA
Molecule: long non-coding RNA, 355 nt
Filed under: Androctonus crassicauda
Lineage: Eukaryota; Metazoa; Arthropoda; Arachnida; Scorpiones; Buthidae
Source: RNAcentral